Molecule: ribosomal RNA, 341 nt
Filed under: Azospirillum brasilense
Lineage: Bacteria; Pseudomonadati; Pseudomonadota; Alphaproteobacteria; Rhodospirillales; Azospirillaceae
Description: partial 16S ribosomal RNA
Rfam family: Bacterial small subunit ribosomal RNA
Source: RNAcentral
CGAAANNNNNGCUUCNGCCNUAGUGGCGCACGGGUGANUAACACGUGGGAACCUGCCUUUCGGUUCGGGANAACGUCUGGAAACGGACGCUAACACCGGAUACGCCCUUCGGGGGAAAGUUUACGCCGAGAGAGGGGCCCGCGUCCGAUUAGGUAGUUGGUGGGGUAAUGGCCCACCAAGCCGACGAUCGGUAGCUGGUCUGAGAGGAUGAUCAGCCACACUGGGACUGAGACACGGCCCAGACUCCUACGGGAGGCAGCAGUGGGGAAUAUUGGACAAUGGGGGCAACCCUGAUCCAGCAAUGCCGCGUGAGUGAUGAAGGCCUUAGGGUUGUAAAGCUC